AUGGCCGACCGUCGUGGUGCCAACCCUUCUGGUGUUGCUGGUCCAGCCAAGGGGGCGGUGCAGAAACCCGCCCUGGGUGCUGGUGUAUCAAAGCAGACGAAUACUACUGGUAAAGAUCCUGUCCCUCCUCAAAGACCAACUAGAUCUACUGGAUCCACCGCCACCUCCUCUCAGGUUCAAUCGUCUCAAGUUAAUGAUGUGGAAAAAGAGCAGCCUCUAGACCCCAGGUACAAGGACAUGAUAUGUUUUAACUGUGGUGGCCCUGGACACUAUGUGGGUAAUUGUGUUAGAUCUCAAGCUUGUUUUAUCUGCCAACAAUCCCACAACGUGAACAACUGCUCGGCUUGGACUAGGGUUCAGCCCACUGCAGCGUUAUUUGGGAGUGGUGCUAGUGGCCUGGGCUUCUAUCAUGUUGAGGUCCCUAUGGCAAAUGAAGCCAAAUGGAUCAAUUUCCAGAAUUGUGGUGUGGUUAAUAUUACCAAGGGUGAAGUGGACAAAGAUAAAUUGGUGAGUCUUCUGACUGCUACUUUUUGCAAGACCAGAGCCUGGCCUUGGCAGAUUAGGGAGUUGUCCAGUAAAGAGUUUCUGGUCAGGUUCCCUCCAUGGAAGAAAGUAGAGGAUUUAAUUGAACUUCAUGGUUUCAGCUUACCCCAAGAUGUAUCUGUCAAAAUGACUGAGUGGACUGGGUCUUGUGACCCGUUUGGUGAACUUAUUGAGGCAUGGGUGCUGAUUGAGGGGAUUCCUCCUAAGUGGUGCUCCUGGAAAGUGUUUGCACAAAUUGCAUCCAUGUUUGGGUUGCUCACUGAUGUUUAUUGGAAUGGUAUGUUUAGAACUUUUUAUGAAAAUGUGAGGAUUAAGAUUGCUUGCAGAGAUCCUUGGAAAAUUCCUUUUGAGAGGUUGAUUGAGAUGAAGAAGAAGCUAUUCUUGCUUGGUUUCACUAUGGAGGGUUUUGAGCAGAUGGGAGGCAGAGGUUCUGUGGUAGAAAUUGAAGAUGAGAAUGAGGAUGACAACUUUGAGGAAGACAAUGGUAAUCAAGAACCACAUGAUCUAACCAAGAACAAUGAUGAUGAUGAAUUCAUUGAUUAUGACACUGCCAUUGAUGAUCUUGAUAAGGCAAAUUUUACAUCCAAGGGGGGGACAUGUUCUUCUGUUGGGAAAAAAGCAUGCAACACGAUGUCUGACUGUCAGGGGGAUGAUCAGGGGACCUUCAUCCUGGAAUGCCUCUCAAACAAAAGGAAGUUUGGUGAAAAUGGUGUGAAUGGGGAGGAGUGUUCCAUGAUUAAGGGUACCCUGAUUGACAAAAAAGAUGGGGUUUGUACCCCUGAAAAGACUUGGUUAAAGAGAGAUGAUGAUGGUAACCAAAGUGAGAGUAUGAGCUACUGUUUGAACCUUCUGAAAUCAGUGGACAUGUCUAUGUCUGAUGAAGAUGAAAAUGCUGAAGAGGAGGAGGUGGGAGUUCUCUCCCCUGGUACAGUUCAGAAAAUGCAAGAGUCUAGUAUAAAACGUUCAUUGUUGGAGGUUCCGGACCAAGCAAGAUCUGGUGGAAACAAGGAAGACAAGAACAUAAAGUGGGGGCCUGUUAAAGCUCAGAAAUAUGAUACUAGGCUGCAUGGGAAUGUAGACAUAAUUAAGAAAGAUGCCCAGUAUAAGAUGAAGAAGAACUUGGAGAUUCCUCCAACCUUCAAAGGUAAAUCUUUCCCUACCAAUGAUUCUACUCUCCUGGCUAGUCAAGCUGUUCAAGUUGGUAUUGUCAUUGGUAGAAGUAAUGAUAACAUGUUUGACAUUAUAGAAGAGCUUAAAGUUAAAGAACAAAAGAAUUGCAUUGCCUUUGCUAAUGAUGAACCUGAAAUAACUUUGCCUGUUAAUAUUGAUCUAACUCAAGAAGAUUUAGUUGGGACUCCUGCUAGAGAUUUCUCGGUGGCAUCAGUUGGCACUGCUGAUAAUACAGACCAAUCCCCUGCUGUCCUCACUAAGGUUAAGCCUUGUGGCUUGUCCCACCCAUUUAGAAUACCCUGA
Molecule: ribosomal RNA, 2016 nt
Filed under: Triticum aestivum (bread wheat)
Lineage: Eukaryota; Viridiplantae; Streptophyta; Magnoliopsida; Poales; Poaceae
Description: partial small subunit ribosomal RNA
Source: RNAcentral